This 1340-nucleotide long non-coding RNA is filed under the name Homo sapiens (human). RNAcentral's name for it is "HSALNT0107655". The record is from RNAcentral. Lineage: Eukaryota; Metazoa; Chordata; Mammalia; Primates; Hominidae.
CUCAAAACAAGACGACCAAGAAAACAAAUUGAUUCUACUACCUUGGAUUUAUUAAACUUGCUGAGCAAAGAGCCGUACCUCUGUGGAGUCCCAGUACUGCCUAAAACAAGGGUGAGUCAGAGACCAGAAUUUAAAGGGUUUGGGGACUGGAGCUAUUCAUAGGACACUUUUAGGGGGAAAGUUAGUAAGGUCCUUCUCAGGAGGGACUAGACAAUUUCUAAACUAGGCGAAUCAUAGGUUUAUUCAGUGGAACUUAGCUGCUGGAACAUGAAGAUCUGCGCAGAGUUGCUGGAUCCGUUUGGCUUUGGUCUUAUCUUGGAUCAUCGGGUCUGACUUCCCUCACUCAACUCUAGAGAUACUGGACUUAAGGAAAUGUCCCCAUAGAACGCUGAGCCUUUCACCUCCUCUUUGCUCGUCUCACGGCUUUGUUAGACACGAAACCAUCUUCUGGAAAAUGUCUUCCCUGACACCUCUCCUACUUUUCUGAGUUUGGGUUGCUUUCCUCCUAGCACUCACGGAGAUCCAGGCACAAAAUUGCCUUGUAUUCAAGUUCCAAGUACCAACCAGCCUUCCACGUGUUGUUGUUUCAAAGAUAACUCUAUUUGCAAAGCCUUUACGCUACUGUUCAGAGAUUUCCGGAGUGUGUGCAACUUCAGUGAGGACUGGAAAGUGGGCCAUUGCGCAGUUCAGCUCUCAGGCUCUUUGUAGAUAACUCUAUUUGAAAGCCUUGACACUGCGGUUGAGAGAUCUCUGGAGUGUGUGCAACCAGUGGUCAGUGAGGACUGGAAAGUGGACCAUUGUUCAGUUCAGUCCUCAGGCUCUUUUUAGGUACACAAUUGCCUUGUAUUUAAGCUCCAAGUAUCAACCAGACUUCCAUGUGUUGUCGUUUCGAAGAUAACUCUAUUUGAAAGGCUUGACACUGCUGUUCAGAGAUCUCCAAAGUGUGUGCAACCCAGUGGUCAGUGAGGACUGGAAAGUGGGCCAUUGCACAGUUCAGCUCUCAGGCUCUUUUUAGGGCAAGGCACAGUGGCUACUCAUUCUCUGCAAAGAAGGAGGAAAAAAGGGAAGAAGGAGAAAGUCACAAAGGGAAAACUCACGCUGCCAAAAUGUCAAGUUUAGGGUAUUCCGGGACAGAAAAAGACACGUCCCAGCAAAGAAGACCUACCUAGACCUGCCCAGCUAAAGUGUCACUGAUUUUUAAAAAAUAAUUAAUUAAAAAUGAUUAAAUGAUUGUGUGUGUGUUGCAUGUGUGUGUGUGUGUGUUUAUAAAAGUGGGAUGGCAUUAUCACUUGUUCCUUGUAGCUGAGACUCUGGGGGUUGUGAGAUGGUCCAGAUUUCUG